GCUGAAGCUAUGUACAUCAGGAAGCGCCAGCUUCUUUAUUACAGAGAUGAAUUUGGUGAUAGAGGUGAGAGAGUCACUGUAGACCCAUCUCUGGUUUUUGAGAAUCCAAGACUUCGAAAUGCUUAUAUAGCAUUGCAAGCUUGGAAACAAGCUAUCCUCUCUGAUCCUAUGAAUCUUACUGCCAAUUGGGUCGGAUCUGAUGUUUGCCACUACACUGGGGUUUACUGUGCUCACGCUCUCGAUAACAAGACCAUCAAUACUGUCGCCGGCAUUGACCUCAACCACGGUGAUAUUGCUGGCUACUUACCGGAGGAGCUUGGCUUGCUGGUGGAUCUUGCAUUGUUUCACAUCAACUCCAACAGGUUUUGUGGAACUGUACCUCACAAGUUCAAAGACUUGGG
Molecule: unclassified non-coding RNA, 401 nt
Filed under: Hevea brasiliensis (rubber tree)
Lineage: Eukaryota; Viridiplantae; Streptophyta; Magnoliopsida; Malpighiales; Euphorbiaceae
Source: RNAcentral